RNAcentral lists this ribosomal RNA (429 nucleotides) under Fusobacteriota bacterium. Its description in RNAcentral is "Fusobacteria bacterium partial 16S ribosomal RNA". It matches the Rfam family "Bacterial small subunit ribosomal RNA", at positions 355 to 776 of the family's 1533-position model. Lineage: Bacteria; Fusobacteriati; Fusobacteriota. The record is from RNAcentral.
UGGGGAAUCUUCCGCAAUGGACGAAAGUCUGACGGAGCAACGCCGCGUGAGUGAAGACGGCCUUCGGGUUGUAAAGCUCUGUGAUCCGGGACGAAAGAGCCUGAGGUGAAUAGCCUAAGGAAGUGACGGUACCGGAAAAGCAAGCCACGGCUAACUACGUGCCAGCAGCCGCGGUAAUACGUAGGUGGCAAGCGUUGUCCGGAAUUAUUGGGCGUAAAGCGCGCGCAGGCGGCUUCCUAAGUCCAUCUUAAAAGUGCGGGGCUUAACCCCGUGAUGGGAUGGAAACUGGGAAGCUGGAGUAUCGGAGAGGAAAGUGGAAUUCCUAGUGUAGCGGUGAAAUGCGUAGAGAUUAGGAGGAACACCGGUGGCGAGGGCGACUUUCUGGACGAAAACUGACGCUGAGGCGCGAAAGCGUGGGGAGCAAACAGG